GUUGAUUUUCAGCUUAGUCUGUCGUGAGGAGUUCAUGAUGUUUUAUACAAAAUUCUAACAAUAUUUAUUACAAUCAUAUUCUAGCAACUUGGGAUCACAAAUGGUUUAUUAUCUACAUAGCUGGAGGAACAUCUGCUGCUGUUUUACUGUUUGUUUUCCUACUCAUUUUCUGCAUCACCACUGCUUAUCGCAAAAAGAAGAAGAGGAAGAGGAUCACAGAGGCCUUAUUUAAUGCUUUGUAUUCUACUCAGGAUGAGCCUGGUAACAAUUAUGCAGAACACAAUUAUCAUACCACAUGGGACAUAGAAAGAAGAAAAGAAGAGUCAUCACUCAGGCCGGAGCAGGAGAUUUACGUGAACUGCAUAAACCUAAGAAAUGACAAUUAGCUUCCAUCUUGUGAAUGAAGUAACCCGACUUCAGGCCAUAUAUUUGCAUGUUGGACUAGAUUUGUUUUGCGUGGGUGAGCUUUAGAAGGUUAAUCUGGCUGUGCCAAGCAUGGCCCAGGCUGCC
This 510-nucleotide long non-coding RNA is filed under the name Gallus gallus (chicken). RNAcentral's name for it is "long non-coding RNA NONGGAT004273". Lineage: Eukaryota; Metazoa; Chordata; Aves; Galliformes; Phasianidae. The record is from RNAcentral.